GACGAACGCUGGCGGCGUGCCUAAUACAUGCAAGUAGAACGCUGAAGGAGGAGCUUGCUUCUCUGGAUGAGUUGCGAACGGGUGAGUAACGCGUAGGUAACCUGCCUGGUAGCGGGGGAUAACUAUUGGAAACGAUAGCUAAUACCGCAUAAUAUUGACUAUUGCAUGAUAGUCAGUUGAAAGGUGCAACUGCACCACUACCAGAUGGACCUGCGUUGUAUUAGCUAGUUGGUGGGGUAACGGCUCACCAAGGCGACGAUACAUAGCCGACCUGAGAGGGUGAUCGGCCACACUGGGACUGAGACACGGCCCAGAAUCCUAAGGGAGGCAGCAGUAGGGAAUCUUCGGCAAUGGACGGAAGUCUGACCGAGCAACGCCGCGUGAGUGAAGAAGGUUGUCGGAUCGUAAAGCUCUGUUGUAAGAGAAGAACGAGUGUGAGAGUGGAAAGCUCACACUGUGACGGUAUCUUACCAGAAAGGGACGGCUAACUACGUG
RNAcentral lists this ribosomal RNA (495 nucleotides) under uncultured bacterium. RNAcentral's name for it is "partial 16S ribosomal RNA". It matches the Rfam family "Bacterial small subunit ribosomal RNA", at positions 28 to 507 of the family's 1533-position model. The record is from RNAcentral.